UAAAAGAAAUAACUUCUAUAUGGCAUCGGAU
RNAcentral lists this non-coding RNA (31 nucleotides) under Rattus norvegicus (Norway rat). The record is from RNAcentral. Lineage: Eukaryota; Metazoa; Chordata; Mammalia; Rodentia; Muridae.